Molecule: ribosomal RNA, 468 nt
Filed under: uncultured bacterium
Lineage: Bacteria
Description: partial 16S ribosomal RNA
Rfam family: Bacterial small subunit ribosomal RNA
Source: RNAcentral
GACGAACGCUGGCGGCGUGCUUAACACAUGCAAGUCGAACGGAAAGGCCCUGCUUUUGUGGGGUGCUCGAGUGGCGAACGGGUGAGUAACACGUGAGUAACCUGCCCUUGACUUUGGGAUAACUUCAGGAAACUGGGGCUAAUACCGGAUAGGAGCUCCUGCUGCAUGGUGGGGGUUGGAAAGUUUCGGCGGUUGGGGAUGGACUCGCGGCUUAUCAGCUUGUUGGUGGGGUAGUGGCUUACCAAGGCUUUGACGGGUAGCCGGCCUGAGAGGGUGACCGGCCACAUUGGGACUGAGAUACGGCCCAGACUCCUACGGGAGGCAGCAGUGGGGAAUAUUGCACAAUGGGCGGAAGCCUGAUGCAGCAACGCCGCGUUCGGGAUGACGGCCUGCGGGUUGUAAACCGCUUUCGCCUGUGACGAAGCGUGAGUGACGGUAAUGGGUAAAGAAGCACCGGCUAACUACGUG